GGGUGUGAGCUGUGGGUUCUAGAGUUUUAUCUCUAGGUUUUGUGAGAAGAAAAAUAUAAGAGAGAGUCUUAUCCAAUCUUCCAUACCACCACCUUCUCAUAAAGCUUUGUCUUCUGAUCUGAAAGAGUCUGGGAGAUCCAAAAAAAGAAGUUUGGAUCAGCCAUCCAAAGCCUUCGAUGCAAGCUAGCACUCUCAUGAAGGAAGAUCCGAUCAGAGCCUCGAGUAGAUGAUCUG
RNAcentral lists this long non-coding RNA (234 nucleotides) under Elaeis guineensis (African oil palm). RNAcentral's name for it is "long non-coding RNA (EGUI_LNC053392)". The record is from RNAcentral. Lineage: Eukaryota; Viridiplantae; Streptophyta; Magnoliopsida; Arecales; Arecaceae.